GUGAUCUAUUAGUAGGGCUCACAGGCACACUCAGGGUUUUAAAUAUGCCUACAGAGCCACAUAACACUAAGAAAUCCUUCACAUCUUGUUUUAAAAAACAGCACAAUGCUGUCAGUUUUAUCAGACUCCAUUCCUCCUUCCUAAAUACUUCAGCGUAUAAGUAAACAAAGGGAAAAGGAGGUGGGGGGGGAUGCAGAAACAAAAGCUAACGUGCAAAUCCAUCAUCUUACCCACUCCUUUCCUCGCGACUGGAGGCUGCGGGAACCGCUGGCUCAGCCCGCGGCGUUUCUUUUCCCACCUGUGAAGCCCGCUGAACUGACGGUGGUUAUUAAAAACAAGAGUGCAUCUCGAAAAUCAGCCCUGAAUGGGGUUGCUGAUGGCGGUUUUCUUUUUCUAGAGAGCUCCAGGGCUGCUCAGCACACAGGAGGGCGAGGCCUCACAGCUUGUCAGAAGACCCAGCUGUGCAGAGGCCGGGCGAAAGGAGAAAGUGGGCUCCAAUGACGCCUGUUAGAGCUUUAAUCCUCAGCUGUGACACAUGGAGGGAGCUAUGAACAGGAAACUCAGAGCUGGGCCGCCAGCCAGAAACAUUCAGAAAACGUGCCAAGCCCUUUCGAAAUACCACACUCUCCACUGAACACUCACUGCUAACAGUUCACAGGCUGUCUCUCUUCUCAAGUGACGGAGCCAUAGACCCGGGCCAUCCAGUCUGUCAGAGUUCCCGUCAUCAGAGUCUGAACCAGUCAAAGCCAGGCCUGGAUCUCCCACCUCCUCCCUCUUCUCCUCCAGAUCCUCCUCCUAACGACAUCCACAGAUGUGAGCUCCCAGCAAUACCGAAGGACCCUUCCUUCAAGCUUGUGUAUGUUUCAGAUGGAGGAUCUCUUCCUAAUGCACCCACUGCCUCUGCCACAUGCCCUGGGGACCCUGCAGGGAUCUCUUGAAGCAUCCAGGAGGGGAGGAGACCCACUGGUCAUCCCUGGACUCAGGGGGAUUAGGGGAGAUGGGGUCCCAGCCCGAGCCUCUGGCUCCCACUUGGAGCCGCUUGAUCCCAUCCAUGAGAGAGGGGGCUGCCGAACCCCUCCUCUGACUAUCUCUCAGGGGCUCCCCUGCACCCCACACCUGGAUUCAUGUUCUCAACACAACCCAGGUCCCACCUAUCAGAGCCCUACUCAUAGUCUGAAACACAAGGGCCAAACUGGCCAAAGCUUAUAUUCUGGUACCCAAGGCCCACCCCCAGCAGGCUCUGCACACCUCUCCACCUUGUCCCCACUGCCCUUCAAAAGAAUUCUCUGUGCCCACUCAGAUGGGCCACCACUGACUCCAGAAG
Bos taurus (domestic cattle) is the source of this 1324-nucleotide long non-coding RNA. The record is from Ensembl. NCBI's taxonomy places the organism in Eukaryota, Metazoa, Chordata, Mammalia, Artiodactyla, Bovidae.